This 1794-nucleotide long non-coding RNA is filed under the name Salvia miltiorrhiza (redroot sage). RNAcentral's name for it is "long non-coding RNA (SMIL_LNC010429)". Lineage: Eukaryota; Viridiplantae; Streptophyta; Magnoliopsida; Lamiales; Lamiaceae. The record is from RNAcentral.
UCAGAUUCAUCAGCCUCUAUCAUCAUCAGAUUCAUCAGCCUCUAUCACUUUUCACCUUCCUGAGACCUCAAACUUGCUCAGCACAUCUCUUCGAUCAUCUCCUUCUAUAGAGCUUCAGUUGGUAAAUUUAUUUUCUGUGAUUUUAAAUCAUCACAGCAACUCUAUUUCUCCUCUUUUGUGUUGUGCAGAAACACUGAGUAAUUUUUAUUGUUGAAUCAAAUUCAGCAUACACAUGCUUCUAAUCCAACAAUUUUCCUAAAUCAUUCAUUUAAUUCAUGAGAAAAAGAAAGAAUAAAAUGAAAUUAGAGACAUAGAGGUAGUGUGGAGAUGGGAGAAUUUUGGGGGAACAGCUGUUGUCGAGCAGGAAAGAGGGUAGGAGGCGGCGACCUGCCAACUGCUGCUGUCGGUGGCGGUGGCGGUGGCGGCAACGGCUGGUCGAAGAUAGAGGAGGGGGCAGAGGAGGCGCCGCAGCAUCGGCUUUCCCGAUGGCUGUUAGGCUGAGGGGAAGCAGAGAGAGGGGGAUGGCUGAAGAACAGCGCCGCCGGCGCUGUGCGCCACGGCGGCCGAAGGGAGGAGACAGGGGCUGCGGCGCGGUCUCGGCUCUGCUGUGCUGUUCCGGUCGAAGGAGGAGGUGGCUGGGACGGCGAGGACAGGGGCAGGGGAGGAUGAAGGGAGAUAGGAAGAUAGGGAAGGAGAGUGAGGAGGUAGGAGCCGCCGGCCUCCGACGACGGCGCGGCCGUCCGGUGGCGCGGCGGCAGGGCACCGAGAGGGAGAGAAGAAGAGAGGGAGUGAGGCUGCGUGAGUUUGUGUGUUGGUGUGUGUUGGUAAGUUUAAGUUAGGGUUAAAUGAUGGGCUGAGAAAUGGGCUUUAAACUGGAGCUUAAUUUUAUUUAAAUAGUUGGGUUUAAUUUUAAUUACCUCAUGGGCUCAAUUUCACUUAAGUAAUUGGGCUUAAUUUUAAUUAUUUUGAGCUGCAUAUUUCUUUUAAUUAAGUUGGAUUUAUCCUUAAAUUAUUUUACUAAUCAAAAUUUUCAUAAGAAAUUAUAUCUUAUUAUUUAAAUUAUUAAAUCAAUGAUUUUAAUGGUCUUAUAUAAAAUUCUCAAAGUUUAUAUUAUUUUUCUAAAGUUCAAUUAGGCCCUUAUGUUUUAUUAUUUGAAUUUAUCUGACUAGGUGCGGCGCGAUUAGGACAUGGAUUUUAAUUUGAAUUAUCAGAAUUGCCUUUCAAGCUCCAAUUACAGGUGUGGGAUUUAUUUCAGUACAUGCUGUGGUUAAUCUUUGUCCAUUUUAAUAUUAUGUGUUUACCAUAUGUGAGUUGCAUUAAAUUAUAUCGCUAGGGGCCCGCUCAAUGGGUCCAGGACUUCACCGUCCUUGGUAUGCCACAAUGCGAUUUCAUGUUACAGUUAUGGUUGCAACCAGUCGCCAGGGGCCGGCUCAAUCGGUCCAGGACAGAAAGGUCCUUGGUAUGCCACCGUGCGACUUUCAGUCACGAAUGUAUUGAUCAUAUGUGAUUCUCAUUUUAUUAACGUGGACAAUGAUUGCAUGUUCCCACACUGAGUGUACCCUGUAUGCUCACCCCAUACUCAACAUUUUUCAGGUUUAAAGGCCGGAGGCGCGUGGAAGGUCGAAUGGCGAAUCAAAUAUUUCGAAUUUGGUUUUACUUAAAAAUGUUAUGUUGAGUAAAAUAUUUUAAAUAAAAUGUUUCUUUUCAUGAUUUUCUCAUUAAAUAUUUAUUUAUAUUCAUAGUUUUUCCGCGUGCGUUUUCAUGUAAAUUUAAAAUGGAUUUGGGUGUCACAAU